RNAcentral lists this transfer-messenger RNA (378 nucleotides) under Terriglobia bacterium. It matches the Rfam family "transfer-messenger RNA". Rfam says of the family: Bacterial tmRNA, also known as 10Sa RNA or SsrA, is named for its dual tRNA and mRNA-like properties. Its role is to liberate the mRNA from a stalled ribosome. The record is from RNAcentral. Lineage: Bacteria; Pseudomonadati; Acidobacteriota; Terriglobia.
GGGGGCGAAACGGUUUCGACGGGAAUCGUGAAGCUCAAGAGGCAUGCCGAGGUCGUCACGUUCCUCGUUAAACACGUGGCACAAUACAACUGCCAACACUGAAUUGGCUCUCGCUGCUUAAUUAAGCAGUGCGUCUCCUCUCGCGAGCCCGCGCGCGGGAACGAGGCGUCGACUCAGCGGGAUAAGUUCCGGGGCCGCCUGAACCCGGGAAUGAAAAUUUAGGGCUGGCUGACCUUCACUCUUGCCGGUUCAUAAGAAGGUUGGCGAGAUUCUUCUCCGGCGGCGCAGGCUGCCGUGAAAGAUGUGAAACGGCUAAGCAUGUAGGCUUUUGAAGCGGAUCAUUUUCGGACGCGGGUUCGACUCCCGCCGCCUCCACCA